AUGCGAAUAGAAAGUAGCAAGGUUGUACAAAUGACAAAUUAUCAUAUUAAAGUGUAGCGAUCAAGGUCCGAGUUGCAAGAUAGAUUGUACGGGGAUCCUGGAGUAUGUAAAAUGUUAGAUAAAGUUAAACUUUUAUUUUGUAAUUAAGUACGAAGGAUGCGUAUAUUGUAAAAAGGUUAUUAUAUAAUGAAGAUACAAGUAAGACAAAACGUUUUUAAUGAAAGAAAUUUUAUGAUACGUAAUUCCGCUGCGUCUUUCCAGUUAAAGCGUGUUAGGGUGUUACAAGUUGGUAUCAGAGCCCUGGUUUGAGAGAAUCAAGUAGAAGGAGGUAAAUGCUUGAACUCAAACCGGUGUGCUCUCGUGACUAAGGACCCGUACAAUCUAAGACUCGAUCAAGAUCUAGGAACAGAAGCCAAGGUAAGUAUGUGCUUAAGUAUGUGUUUGAAGAUAACUAACAGUAUGUUAUGUGUAAGGUCAGCAUGAUUGCUUGGAAAGGAUGAAUUAUAAAUGCAGUCUAGCGAUGGCACCAAGGUAUAUAAUAUGACAUAUUGACCGAGGUACGUAGAUUUAACUUAUUGGUGCAUGAAAUGGUAUGUUUAAGCAAGUAAAAGAAAAUUUCAAAUGAAAUAUAAUAAUGACAGAGUAAGGAAGUUUUGAAAAUGUUACACGUGCCGAAACUUAAUUCUGCGGACAUAAGGUGGUGAUUACGCGAAGGCACGAAACAAGUAUGUGGAUUGUGUACCUGGCCAGUACACGAGAAACAUAUGACGUUCGUGAGACCGUGAUAAUUGUUACAGGUAUGUCCGUUAGAAUUAGGUAGUAGGUGGACGUGGGGAGGGAGAUGAAGGGAAAUGUAAGACUUUCAGGAAUGAAAGUAUGAAUGAUCUGUUGAAUCCGUGAGACGGAUUCAACACGUGUAAGGAAUGAAAGAUAUGAAUGGAAUGUUUGAAUCCGCGAGACGGAUUCAAGAAAUGAAAGGCUCGAAUGGGACGUUUGAAUCCGCAAGACGGAUUCAAUGAAUGAAAUGCAGGAAUGACAUGCUUGAAUCUGCGAGACAGAUUCAAAUUAUGGAAAGAAAAAAAAAUGAAUGAAUGGUAGGUUAGAAAC
RNAcentral lists this long non-coding RNA (1107 nucleotides) under Helianthus annuus (common sunflower). RNAcentral's name for it is "hypothetical non coding rna". Lineage: Eukaryota; Viridiplantae; Streptophyta; Magnoliopsida; Asterales; Asteraceae. The record is from RNAcentral.